This 468-nucleotide ribosomal RNA is filed under the name uncultured bacterium. RNAcentral's name for it is "partial 16S ribosomal RNA". It matches the Rfam family "Bacterial small subunit ribosomal RNA", at positions 28 to 507 of the family's 1533-position model. The record is from RNAcentral.
GACGAACGCUGGCGGCGUGCUUAACACAUGCAAGUCGAACGGAAAGGCCCUGCUUUUGUGGGGUACUCGAGUGGCGAACGGGUGAGUAACACGUGAGUAACCUGCCUUUGACUUUGGGAUAACGUCAGGAAACUGGGGCUAAUACCGGAUAUUAGCUCCUGCUGCAUGGUGGGGGUUGGAAAGUUUCGGCGGUUGGGGAUGGACUCGCGGCUUAUCAGCUUGUUGGUGGGGUAGUGGCUUACCAAGGCUUUGACGGGUAGCCGGCCUGCGAGGGUGACCGGCCACAUUGGGACUGAGAUACGGCCCAGACUCCUACGGGAGGCAGCAGUGGGGAAUAUUGCACAAUGGGCGGAAGCCUGAUGCAGCAACGCCGCGUGCGGGAUGACGGCCUUCGGGUUGUCAACCGCUUUCGCCUGUGACGAAGCGUGAGUGACGGUAAUGGGUAAAGAAGCACCGGCUAACUACGUG